Molecule: ribosomal RNA, 576 nt
Filed under: Triticum aestivum (bread wheat)
Lineage: Eukaryota; Viridiplantae; Streptophyta; Magnoliopsida; Poales; Poaceae
Description: partial small subunit ribosomal RNA
Source: RNAcentral
AUGGCACCGUCUGGCUCGAACCCGCUGGGGCCAGUGUUCCAGACCGUCGCCGCCUUCUCCCGCCGCCUCCUCAUCGCCCCCGACACCGCACCCGACGACCACCGCCUCCGCCCCCUCCUCUCCCUCUCCCUCUCCCCGCCCGCGCCCCUGCCCCCGGCCCCGCCCCCGCCGCCGGAGGUCCUCAAGCAGAUGGAUACGAAGGUGGCGCCCCUGACGAAGGAGGAGGUUGGCCGGGCCACGUGGAUGCUGCUCCACACCAUCGCCGCACAGUUUCCUGAUGAACCAACCAGGCAGCAGAAACGCGAUGCGAAAGAGCUGAUGGCUUUACUUUCUAGAAUUUAUCCUUGCAAAGAGUGCGCUGAUCACUUCAAGGAAGUUUUGAAAGCAAAUCCUGUGCAGGCAGGAUCCCAGGCUGAGUUCUCUCAGUGGUUAUGCUAUGUGCACAAUGUGGUUAAUCGAAGCCUUGGAAAAACAAUAUUUCCCUGCCAGAGAGUAAAUGCACGGUGGGGCAAGCUGGAUUGCCCGGAUCGCGCGUGCGACCUAGAAGGCUCGAACGACAUCGUGCCGAACCGAUGA